CACUACAUUCCAGUAAUGAAGAGGAAGACCCUUUCCGUGGAAUGGAACCCUAUCUUGUCCGGAGACUUUCAUGUCGCAAUAUUCAGCUUCCCCCUCUCGCCUUCAGACAGUUGGAACAAGCUGACUUGAAAAGUGAAUCAGAGAACAUUCAACGACCAACCAGCCUCCCCCUGAAGAUUCUGCCGCUGAUUGCUAUCACUUCUGCAGAAUCCAGUGGGCUUUCCAGAUGCCUGAAGAUAAAAUACAAACUCUCCAACAAGACCUUUUGGCCAUCAGGAACGCAGCACCUGGCUCUCUCACUACUGUUACCCUAGCAUGACUGCUUCAGCAAAGAGAUAAGAGCUUCUUUGACUUUUUCCACUGGAAUUUUUCAUGCCAGAAGAAAUUGAACAUGUGAGCCUGGUGUCUGGAAGAGUAGCCUGGAUUUAUGGUAUCAGAUGCACAUUUUUAACACCUUCAGUUUUCUCUUUGAAAUAUCUCUUCAAUCCCUUACUUUUCUCUAUUUGUUUCAACAUUAAAAUAUGUUAUUUUUCUUC
This 536-nucleotide small RNA is filed under the name Pan troglodytes (chimpanzee). Its description in RNAcentral is "processed transcript". The record is from RNAcentral. Lineage: Eukaryota; Metazoa; Chordata; Mammalia; Primates; Hominidae.